AAUCAACGCUGGCGGCGUGCCUCAGACAUGCAAGUCGAACGCGAAAGUCCCCUUCGGGGGAUGAGUAGAGUGGCGUCCGGGUGAGUAACACGUAGGUAAUCUACCUUUGGGUGGGGAAUAACCCCGAGAAAUCGGGGCUAAUACCGCAUAAUGCAGCGGCACCACAUGGUGACAGUUGUUAAAGCGGGGGAUCGCAAGACCUCGCGCCUAAAGAGGAGCCUGCGGCGGAUUAGCAGUUGGUAGGGUAACGGCCUACCAAGGCAACGAUCCGUAGCCGGCCUGAGAGGGCGGUCGGCCACACUGACACUGAAAUACGGGUCAGACUCCUACGGGAGGCAGCAGUCGGGAAUUUUGGGCAAUGGGCGAAAGCCUGACCCAGCAACGCCGCGUGAAGGAUGAAAUCCCUCGGGAUGUAAACUUCGCAAGAACAGGAAGAAUAAGUAGGGGACAAUACCCCCUAUGAUGACGGUACUGUUUGUAAGCUCCGGCUAACUCCGUGCCAG
This 503-nucleotide ribosomal RNA is filed under the name uncultured bacterium. RNAcentral's name for it is "bacterial SSU rRNA". It matches the Rfam family "Bacterial small subunit ribosomal RNA", at positions 32 to 511 of the family's 1533-position model. The record is from RNAcentral.